RNAcentral lists this transfer RNA (22 nucleotides) under Spirinchus lanceolatus. RNAcentral's name for it is "partial tRNA-Phe". The record is from RNAcentral. Lineage: Eukaryota; Metazoa; Chordata; Actinopteri; Osmeriformes; Osmeridae.
GCUAGCGUAGCUUAAUCAAAGC